AUGCACGCUAGCGGCAGGCUUCAUACCUGCCAGUCGUGGGGCAGCAGGACUGUAGCACUACAGUUGCUGGCGACCGGCAAAAGGGUGCGGAACACGUACGCAACUUACCCUGAACUGGGGGAUAGCCCGGGGAAACCCGGAUUAAUACCCCGUAAUAUAAGGGAGUGGCAUCACUUUAUUAUUAAAGCUCCGGCGGUUCGGGAUGGGCGUGCGGCUGAUUAGGUAGUUGGUUGAGGUAACGGCUCACCAAGCCUACGAUCAGUAACUGGUGUGAGAGCACGACCAGUCACACGGGCACUGAGGCACGGGCCCGACUCCUACGGGAGGCAGCAGUAAGGAAUAUUGGGCAAUGGAGGCAACUCUGACCCAGCCAUGCCGCGUGGAGGAGGAAGGCCCUCUGGGUUGUAAACUUCUUUUAUAGGGGACGAAACCUGUGUAUUCUUACGCAGUUGACGGUACCCUAGGAAUAAGCACCGGCUAACUCCGUG
Molecule: ribosomal RNA, 488 nt
Filed under: uncultured bacterium
Lineage: Bacteria
Description: partial 16S ribosomal RNA
Rfam family: Bacterial small subunit ribosomal RNA
Source: RNAcentral